Dermacentor silvarum is the source of this 4186-nucleotide long non-coding RNA. RefSeq lists it as uncharacterized. The record is from RefSeq and is a predicted model, not a curated record. The transcript is spliced from 2 exons. NCBI's taxonomy places the organism in Eukaryota, Metazoa, Arthropoda, Arachnida, Ixodida, Ixodidae.
UGUAAGAUGUGGAGACGCGUGCAGUGCUACAGGUCGUGUGCUUGAUGCUGCCCAAGUGAAUGUUUCACUUCGUUUUCACCGCAAAAUGAGCUUAAAGUGCGUCGUGUAUGAGCUGCCCUGGCUGACGUGGUAGCGGACUUUGUCACUGGGAGUUCUACCCGGCUUCAGCCCGAUGCGGGAUCACACACAUAGCACCCGAACGCCGGAAUUCACGAAAGUUUUUGUAUAAAAUGUUUAUUUUAUUUAUCAAUUACCUAUAUAUAUCGAACUUUCUUGUUAUCCCCUUCAGAUUCGAUAUAUCUGGGUUCGACUAUACAACGGAAUGUCACGAAUUCAUUGGUUUCAGGUGAAAAAAAAGCUCCUGAUUAUAGUGUAUGCACAGAAAUUCUUUUGUUAAAAAAGAUAAUUUCCAGACCUUCAUAUGCUAGAACUGAGUUGUAAUUCCUGCUGGCAUACUAAUUUGAUGCUUCCUUUAAUGAGAGUAGACCGUACUGAAUAUCUUGAUUUCUAUGUACAUAAGUUUACUAAUAGCGCGCUACAUUCUUGUUAUGCAAUGCUAGGAGAUUCCCGAGCAUGUGCAGCAACCGUGUUUUCUUGCCUAAAUUUGUAAGCAAUAAAUUUUGUGAAACUUUUUCUUGAUUCAAUUCGAUAUUUGAUUCGAAGUUUACUAUUCGGUAUUCACACACCCCUAAUUAACACUCAUCUCCCUCUUUGGGAUGUUCUCCAACCCAGUGGCAUCAGCAGCCUGGUGAUCACCAAGAACGAGUCCAACUUCACCACCACCACGAGCACAGUGGGCGACCUGAAGUCCCUCGAACUGGACGAUUUGCUGCCUGCCGACCACGAGGUACUGGCUGACAAGCUGCGCUCCGAGUGCAAGAUUGAGGUGGUUCGCGAGAAGCGGACUGUCGUCGUCGUUCGGGAGGAGACGCUCGUUAAUGGGGGCUCCCCUACAAAUUGAACCAGCCUUCAUCAGCUAGCACCCGCCGCUUGGAACUGUAUCGUUUUUCACACCAUGCGCAUUUGUUUUCAUUUAUUUUGUUUUUCUUCCUCUCCACAUAAUUGUUUUCACAUUGCAGCUAGUUCCUCUUAGCAACAGGCGUUUCUUUUUAUUUAAUUUCCCUGUUAGUUGUUGGUCUCCACGUUUUUAGCCAUUGUUUUUCUUGUGCGUAUUUUUUUUUUUUUUCGGUUUAAGGAACAAAGCACAGUCCCACCACCCACACACACAUUAAUGCAUGUUAGCUUGUGGCUGUGCACCCCUAGCAUGUGGGUGCGCACAUCCAGCAUCGUAGAAGAGGAGGAAUAAGUGCGAGAGAGAACAGGAGUGAGGGGCAGCUGCGUUGUACAGUUUUGGCUACAAAAGUUCGCGGGACAUGGGAUUCGCUAAAAAAGCCAAGUUAUUGCGAAGUCUGGGCAAAUUGCCUCGUGCCUAAACGCCGCAGAAAUCUGCGUUGGCUACGGAAACUCGUGACCCGUAAACUUUCUUGGCCGACUGUACGUCUUUGCGUUUUCAUCCUCCUCGCAAGGGAAGGAUCAGAAGGAACGCGUCUGUUUUUAUGUGUUUACUUUGCCGAUAGAUUAUACGUCCUUCCCCCACACUUUUCUAGGCACAUGCAUCGCCGCUACAUGACCGAAAGAGGGGGAGAAUAGAUCUUUCCUUGUUCUUACAGUCUGCGAAAUGCACAAUGUGCUUUUUUUGUCGUCGGCGGCAAGGAGUAUACUGGUGACUUCGCUGGUCGGCUGAAUUUGUGUAGUGGUGCUUGGAUAGGGUCUUGGAUAUUCGGAGGCUCCGAAGGAACGGCGGACUUUAGGAGCACUGGCAGAACCACCAUUCGGAUCAGCGAUAGGCCUUGGCUUCGCACGAAGGAACAUGUACUUUUUUUAUUAUGAAUGCGGGGAGUAGACGAGGCAAUCCGUUAUAUCCUCUGCUUUUUCCCCAGGGUAGACAGCCAGGGCUGUUUUACCCUUGUUGAUGCUGCGCUGGCAGAAACAAUAUCGGUGAAAUAGUGUAACGUGGGAAGAGGAACGUGAACGGCACUGCUGUUUCACAUUUUGCCCCGCUGGGAUUGCCAGGAUACUCGAACCACGUCGCCUUGAUUUGAUUGACACCUGUCAGUAUUGCAUCAUUCCAAGUUUGGCGGUCGAUACUGCAAGCACCACAAGUGCCUUUACCUCGGCACAAUUGCAGCAGCUCUCUGUGUUCUUGUCAUGCUCUAGCGUGACAGGCACGAGUCUCAUCGAUGCAAAAAGGUUCUUGCUUCGCUUUUCUCGAAGCCACCUUUGUUGAGGCAUUGUCGACGCGGGAAGAGAUUUCGGAGUAGCUUUUCCCGCCUUGUAUAACUUGGUUACUGUGGGCACAGCCCACUACCCUGCUUGUAACUACUGGCAGGGGUAAAAGAAAUGUAAGCCAGACAUUUUAAAUGGCAGGCAGUGAAAUAAGGUAGUGGCUGAGGUAGGUAAGAUAUUAAGUGGUGGUCGAUUUUAACCUCCAGAACAGCACUCUUCUUCCGCCAACAGAAUUUUUAAUGACCUGCACUGGGGGGUUAUCUAGCCUGCCUUGACCAGUCUCCUCUUGUUCUUUAGUUCGAACGGUGUCAUUUGCAUUUCAUUUUUUUUUGCAGUAGUGCCUGUAACUGUCAUUCUCUUUGGUUGACGUGUUGGAGAAAACGCCGCAAUCUUAUGUUUAACCACGCGUCGUCAAGAGACGUUGGCACUACAUUGAGACAGGUAUGUGCUAUGCAUUGAGGCCACAGAGCGAGGCUGUGCAAGGUGUUGCACAUAUUGGGGCUACAGUUAUCGCUUCCUCUUUUACCUUUAUUUAUUUGUGGGCCUCGUUUUUCUCGUUUCUCUGAUGUAAGGCAUACCUUUGCUUCGUCGGCAUUUGCGAAAGAGAUGAGAGAUUUCUGUGUGAACUGGGGUAUGUUGCAGCUUGCUGAAUGCCGUCUGCUUUUGUUCUGAGUGCUUUUAUUUUUUUGCAUUUGCACAGACGCAAUUAAAGCUGCAACAUGCACGCUAUGCUGCUAGUAGGGCAAGCAGCCCACAUUUUAAUUUUUCUCUAUGGCCACGCCUAGUGCAACCACACUCGUGUCAACUUAUACUAUAUUAUAUACUAGAAGGACCACAUAUUGCACUUUAUUAGGUGCGUCGCCCUGUAGGGGCUGCUCAUGGCACGUGUCUUUCUCUGGCCUUGUUUACACUCUCCCGUGUGCAUUCCUUGAUUUCUACUCAAAGCGACGGCGAAAAGAUUUCGUACGGUCGUACUUCUUUCUCACCGCAAGCACAGGGGGCAACUGUACUUCGUCUUGCCAAUUCCGUGCAGCGAAGCCCAAGGCUAUAAUGGCUUGUGUCAGCCACUUGGUAUAAUGGAAGCCGAAUUGUGUGUUCCUAUAAAGGGAAAUGGAAGAAGGCUGGCCUAUUGCGCAAUAUGAUGGCACUUCCGUUCAGUCUUAGUAGCGCAAUGGCUGCUCAAGUAGGAGCCCUUCAUCUGGUUUUCUUUUCUGGUUGGUUGACACAACCCCUAAUGUUCGCUACACUGCGUGGACUUAGCGAGACGCAGAGCACAGGAUGUGCAUUCUUCACUUUUUUUUUUUCCGCCCCCUGUCUCUCAUCAUCGGAAACGCUUCUUGUUUUUACUCUUUUUUUUGUAUAGGGGGGGUCAGGGGACAAUGGACAAAUCAUCUCAUAAUCAAAAAGUGCCAUUUUUCAGCCUUCCAAAUAAGAGAAAAAAAAAGGUGAAAUGGGGAGAGGAAAAAGGAGCACUUCCUGGCAGUUUUUUUUUUUUUUACCUGGAUUUUUUUUAUGAGCAAGUGGCGGUGUUUGCAUUUUUUUUAAGAAAAGGUCUAUACAUACUAUAUAUAUAUAUUAACGUAUUUAAGGCUUUUUUUUAUUUCCUUGUCCUAUGUUUAUCGUGCUCGUCGCCACAGGUCUUUUUCGCAUGUUUAUACAGGGCAGCUCUUUUGCUGCAUGCGUGUGUGUUAUGAGGGCAGCAGCAGUUCAUAUGAGAAUCCUUCUACAAUACGCCUCGAAUUAUGCCACGGAAAUGCCCAUAUUGGUGAUGGUGGUACCUACAACUGCUAUACUGAAACAUGGUGUUUUUUUUUUUUAGGCUGUAAGACUUUUUCAAGCUGUCUUUUUUUUUUUUUUUUUACCGGGCCAUUUUCGAAAUAAAAUGUUUGAAAAUUGUAAA